RNAcentral lists this ribosomal RNA (454 nucleotides) under uncultured Porphyromonadaceae bacterium. RNAcentral's name for it is "partial 16S ribosomal RNA". It matches the Rfam family "Bacterial small subunit ribosomal RNA", at positions 341 to 792 of the family's 1533-position model. Lineage: Bacteria; Pseudomonadati; Bacteroidota; Bacteroidia; Bacteroidales; Porphyromonadaceae. The record is from RNAcentral.
ACGGGAGGCAGCAGUGAGGAAUAUUGGACAAUGGAUGGAAGUCUGAUCCAGCCAUGCCGCGUGAAGGAUGGAUGCCCUACGGGUUUUGAACUUCUUUUGUAGGGGGGCAAUAAGGGCCACGGGUGGCCCGAUGAGAGUACCGUACGAAUAAGCAUCGGCUAACUCCGUGCCAGCAGCCGCGGUAAUACGGAGGAUGCGAGCGUUAUCCGGAUUUAUUGGGUUUAAAGGGUGCGUAGGCGGCUUGCCAAGUCAGCGGUGAAAUCCGGGCGCCCAACGCCGGGACUGCCGUUGAAACUGGCGGGCUUGAAUGGUGCAGCCGCAUGCGGAAUGUGUGGAGUAGCGGUGAAAUGCAUAGAUAUCACACAGAACGCCGAUUGUGGAGGCAGCGUGCGAGACACUAAUUGACGCUGAGGCACGAAGGUGCGGGGAUCGAACAGGAUUAGAUACCCUGGUA